AGCUGCCGAAUCAUCCAUUCA
Molecule: microRNA, 21 nt
Filed under: Oryza sativa (Asian cultivated rice)
Lineage: Eukaryota; Viridiplantae; Streptophyta; Magnoliopsida; Poales; Poaceae
Description: osa-miR319a-5p
Gene: osa-miR319a-5p
Source: miRBase by way of RNAcentral